GAUGAACGCUGGCGGCGUGCCUAAUACAUGCAAGUAGAACGCUGAAGGAAGGAGCUUGCUCUUUCCGGAUGAGUUGCGAACGGGUGAGUAACGCGUAGGUAACCUGCCUGGUAGCGGGGGAUAACUAUUGGAAACGAUAGCUAAUACCGCAUAACAGUAGAUGUUGCAUGAUAUCUACUUAAAAGGUGCAAUUGCACCACUACCAGAUGGACCUGCGUUGUAUUAGCUAGUUGGUGAGGUAACGGCUCACCAGGGCGACGAUACAUAGCCGACCUGAGAGGGUGAUCGGCCACACUGGGACGGAGACACGGCCCAGACUCCUACGGGAGGCAGCAGUAGGGAAUCUUCGGCAAUGGACGGAAGUCUGACCGAGCAACGCCGCGUGAGUGAAGAAGGUUUUCGGAUCGUAAAGCUCUGUUGUAAGAGAAGAACGAGUGUGAGAGUGGAAAGUUCACACUGUGACGGUAUCUUACCAGAAAGAGACGGCUAACUACGUG
Molecule: ribosomal RNA, 497 nt
Filed under: uncultured bacterium
Lineage: Bacteria
Description: partial 16S ribosomal RNA
Rfam family: Bacterial small subunit ribosomal RNA
Source: RNAcentral